UAUUGGUCAAUGGGCGCGAGCCUGAACCAGCCAAGUCGCGUGAGGGAUGAAGGUUCUAUGGAUCGUAAACCUCUUUUAUAAGGGAAUAAAGUGCGGGACGUGUCCCGUUUUGUAUGUACCUUAUGAAUAAGGAUCGGCUAACUCCGUGCCAGCAGCCGCGGUAAUACGGAGGAUCCGAGCGUUAUCCGGAUUUAUUGGGUUUAAAGGGUGCGUAGGCGGCCUUUUAAGUCAGCGGUGAAAGUCUGUGGCUCAACCAUAGAAUUGCCGUUGAAACUGGGGGGCUUGAGUAUGUUUGAGGCAGGCGGAAUGCGUGGUGUAGCGGUGAAAUGCAUAGAUAUCACGCAGAACCCCGAUUGCGAAGGCAGCCUGCCAAGCCAUUACUGACGCUGAUGCACGAAAGCGUGGGGAUCAAACAGGAUUAGAUACCCUGGUAGUCCACGCAGUAAACGAUGAUCACUAGCUGUUUGCGAUACACUGUAAGCGGCACAGCGAAAGCGUUAAGUGAUCCACCUGGGGAGUACGCCGGCAACGGUGAAACUCAAAGGAAUUGACGGGGGCCCGCACAAGCGGAGGAACAUGUGGUUUAAUUCGAUGAUACGCGAGGAACCUUACCCGGGUUUGAACGCAUUCGGACCGAGGUGGAAACACCUUUUCUAGCAAUAGCCGUUUGCGAGGUGCUGCAUGGUUGUCGUCAGCUCGUGCCGUGAGGUGUCGGCUUAAGUGCCAUAACGAGCGCAACCCUUGCCACUAGUUACUAACAGGUAAAGCUGAGGACUCUGGUGGGACUGCCAGCGUAAGCUGCGAGGAAGGCGGGGAUGACGUCAAAUCAGCACGGCCCUUACAUCCGGGGCGACACACGUGUUACAAUGGCGUGGACAAAGGGAAGCCACCUGGCGACAGGGAGCGAAUCCCCAAACCACGUCUCAGUUCGGAUCGGAGUCUGCAACCCGACUCCGUGAAGCUGGAUUCGCUAGUAAUCGCGCAUCAGCCAUGGCGCGGUGAAUACGUUCCCGGGCCUUGUACACACCGCCCGUCAAGCCAUGGGAGCCGGGGGUACCUGAAGUCCGUAACCGCGAGGAUCGGCCUAGGGUAAAACUGGUGACUGGGGCUAAGUCGUAACAAGGUAGCCGUACCGGAAGGUGCGGCUG
RNAcentral lists this ribosomal RNA (1148 nucleotides) under human gut metagenome. RNAcentral describes it as "bacterial SSU rRNA". It matches the Rfam family "Bacterial small subunit ribosomal RNA", at positions 362 to 1520 of the family's 1533-position model. The record is from RNAcentral.